Long non-coding RNA from Octopus sinensis (East Asian common octopus), 4117 nucleotides. RefSeq lists it as uncharacterized. NCBI's taxonomy places the organism in Eukaryota, Metazoa, Mollusca, Cephalopoda, Octopoda, Octopodidae. The record is from RefSeq and is a predicted model, not a curated record. The transcript has 2 exons.
UUUUCAGGUCAGCUAGUCCAAUCCGUUUGAAGAAAGAGAGGAAUGCGUAUAUAAAGGAACAAAGAAGUAAAGAAAGGGAAGAAAAAAAAAUCCAGUCGAUCUUACCACUUAAAAAAAAAUCUUAACACACACACACCAAGAAAUAUAAUAAAAUAAAAGCAGUAAGAUAGUUAUAAAUAACAGAGCAUACAUAUAUAUAUACGUCUAUAUAUAUGAGUGUGUGUGGGCUGACGACAAAAGAAGAGGAACAGAAAGAACAUUUGCCACAAACUUAUAUCAAUUUCGUAGACAUCCACUGUCAUGGUGCAGACUGCCUCACUUUAAACCUCACUUCACUCCUCACUGAUACUCCUUAACUAACGGGAAAUUUAAAUAAUUAAGCGGCAUACUAAUAAAGUUUCCAUUAUUGUACUACAUUGUAGCAGUACCUAUCAUCAGUUUUGGGUAUUUCAGUUGAGUUUGGUACUCGCGUGUUAUUAUUGUAGUUGCAGCUGCGUGUGUUGUAUGCGAACGCGUGAUCUCCACCUCUGCGUGUGUACAAGUGUGUAAACAGACGUGUGUGUGUUCUGUUGUGUUGUGUGUAUAUUAUAUUUAAGUGAGGAUUCAAUAUAUAUAUAUAUAUAUAUAUAUAUGUUUGUAGAUGCAUAUAUAUAUUAAGUUAGUGAGGUUUGAAUAACAGUUAUUUUCAAGUGAGGCUAUUAUUUGUAAACUUUUUUUAUAUCCAAACUUUUUUUAAUUUAACAAAAAAAAAUACAAAAAAUAUUCUGAGCAUUUUUUAUACCACUGAUUUUAUUAAUACCAUUUGUUAUUUUAAAAAUAUAAAAAAAUUUAAAAAAUUGAAAAAAUUUUAAAUUAACAAAAAAAAUAUUAAAAAAAAUAGCGAACAAAUUUUAACAAAGUUGAACAUAAAAAGGAAGAAAGGAUUGUGAACAGAAAAAGAAAGGAAAAACAAGAAGUUUUGUAAAUAAUAAUUUGCCUUCAUUUCUUUCGCUUUUGAAUGUGAAAUUUUCUGAAACCAACUUACGUUUCUAUAUGUGACUGAGCGAACGUUGUAGCGAAAAGGAAGUUCCGCAACACAAAACCAGCGUCGAUUAAGUAUUUCCAAAGCCUACCGACGACAAUCAAACCCAACAUCACAGUCGCCGCAGCCGCCGCCAUCUUUACCACUACCACCACCACCACUACCGUCGUAGUAGCACCAGCAGCCACUGCCGCCUCCGUCAACGUCUCAACUACCAAUUCCACCAGCACUACCACCUCCACUACCACAGCCAAUACGCCGUUGUCGUCUCUGUCACUACAGCUCGAAAAACGCGAAAUUCUUCUUCACCUCACUCUUUCAAUUCCACCGAGACGAGGGGAAAAACUCCACCACCGACACCACACCACUACCACCACUACCAACAACUACAACAACAACACUACCACCACCAACACCACUACCACCAACGCCAUCGUCGCCAAACUACACCAACGAACAAACAGCCAGCCAUCCAUCCAUCCAAGCAUCCAUUCAGGCAGCCAACCAACAAAACUACCAACCAACCAACCAACUGCCCGCCCGACUUUCCCUACCACCCGCCCAUCACACUUUCAGAGCCGCCUGUUGACAUAAACGCCCAACCUCGCCUCCUCCCCACGCACCGACUCAAACUCCACCGCUUCACCCCGCUCGCCUGGCCGCCACUUAACGAAAACAGAAUAUUUUUCAGUUUAACUUCCAAGUUUCUGCUAGUCCCCUCCUAGCAAAGCGUACGGUGGAGGAAAAACUUUAAUAAUAAGCAGCAGGAGAAUCGAAACGCAUUAAUCGGAAUAUAUAUACACAUACACAAUCAUAUACUAAUAAUAUAUACAUACAACCACAAUAACACACACAUACUUACUUACUGAAGGAGAGAGAGAGAAAAAGAGGAACGAGUAAACAACUAAUAGGAAAAGAUAGAGCUUUAAGUGAAAUUUGUAACAUAUAUAUAUACAUACAUAUAUAUAUAUACAUAUAUGUCUUACAUAGAAACGCACCCACCCAUACAAAAUUAUUUGUAGUUUUUUGCUGUCGUCAUCUUAGAAGUUGUUGUUAUUAUUAACAACAACAAUAUUAAUAAUAUAUUGUUAUUACAUAUAAUAAUAAUACAAUAGCGACGGUGGUGGUGGUGGUAGUGGUGAUGAUGUUGGAGACAUUUUAUCGUCAUUAACGGGAAUAUUUAAUAUUUAAUUUCAUUUGUUAUUACUAUUGAUAUUAUUGUUAUUAUUAUUGUUAAUAUUAUUAGUAUUAUUAUUAGUAUUAUAUUAUCGGUUUCUUGUGACACAAUUUGUAAAAAACAAAACAAAUAUUAAAAAAAGAUAAUAAUAAUAAUAACGAAACAAGGCAAGCCAAGACAAAAAAAUUCUGUUCUGAUCGUUUCACGGUAUGGUUGGGUAGAAGGUACGUGUAUCUAGGAAGAAAGGUAAAUAACAAAAACACGAAGUACCUCUCUCGCUAUCACUCCUAGCCCUGCAUCCAAUACCACACACAUAUUCCACUAGACGUAUUAAGUCUCUCUCUCUCCGUCUCUUUCUCCCUCUAUCUGUCUGUCUAUCAAUCUGUCUAUCUGUGUAUGUAUCACAGACUUGCAACGCUCAUAUAUACAUAACGCUAACGGGCCUCUCCUUCUUAAAUCUUUCUCUCUCUCUUUCUCUCCCCUCCCCAACUCUGUCUCUCUAUGUGUCUGUCAGUGUCUCUCUGACAAACACAAAACAUUAUGUAUAUAUAUACAUAUAUAUAAACAUUAUAUAUAUGUAUAUAUAUAUAUAUAAUUAUUAACAGUCGGAGACAAAACAAUGCAUUUUAAGGAGUACCUAAUUAUCAACAAGGAGUUAAUUAUUAACCAGUAACACCAACAGCAUCGGCACCAUAGUUCUAUAACUUGGCCCGCCGUUUCUCUUUGAUAUAUUCAUCACAUACACCUAUAACUAUAUAUAUCUAUCUAUAUACAUAUAUAUAGUUUAUUAUACAGGAACGCAUACGUACAUGCAUCAAGGAAGUAAGACAACUAUAUACAUAAACAAAGUUCGUUUGAAUUCACGUAUGUAUACACGCAUUCGGAUUAAUUUUUAAGCAUUCAUUUACGCAUACAAAUUUCUUCUCAAGCAAGAAAAGAAGGAUUACACAAAUAUAAACAAACAACACACAAAUAAACAAACACAUCAAUAAACAAUAAUAUUAAAAACAUAAUAACAAUAAUUAUAUUUACUACCGUUAUUGUUAUUAAUACUACAAUUACCAAUUACACUUAUACAUUUUUCCCCUUCAAUUUUAAUUUCGAAUGCCCAGAGAAUCUCUUAGAUUUUUUUUUAAAAUUUCAAUAUUGAAAGAGUGAACGAAGACGCCACCAACAGAAUUACGUGAGAGCAAAAAGACAUCAUAUUUUACCAGUUGUCCCUUCUAUUUCUUCCCCCUCUCACCGUUUAUAUAUACCCACAUAUAUAUACAUAUAUAUAUAUAUAUAUAUAUAUAUAUAUGUAAAAUUAAAACAAAAGGCUGCAGGAACACCAAAGGUGAAGAAAAGGAUUUUACGUACAACAUAGAAGAAGAAAAAAGAACCCUUAACCGAAGGCUAUUUGUUAUAUUACAUCUCAUGUUUUUACCAAAAUUUUUGUUACAGUCGGAGGAUUAAAACGAUAACAAAAAAAAAAAAGUCUAUCAUGUUCGCCGUUUGAGGAAUUCUAUCGUAAUAUUAUUUGCAUUCCUUAACUUUCCAUAAUGUUAUAUUUCUGGUCACAGAUUUAUUUCUAGCACCGAUUGCAAAGAAUAUCUUCCUUUAAAUCAUAUAGGAACUUUGUCAUAAACAAAUUCUUCCAAAUAUAUAUAUAUAUAUAUAAAACGUAAAAAUAUUAUAUAUAUAUACGUGUAUUUAUAUAUAUAAAUCUGUAUAACUAUAUAUAUAUAUUUCCCCCCCACAGGUACAUAUUGUGUUUUUUAAAUGCCGCUUUUAUAUAUAAAUUAAAAAAAAAAAAGGAAAAAUAUGUGAAACCACUUGAUGGGGGAAUACGGAAGAUUUUGAGUGCUUAAUUAAACGGAAAAAAAAAGAUAAUUAUCUAAAUUUAAUUGAAAAGAAAAAAAAUAUUUUUCUCUUUUUUU